This 496-nucleotide ribosomal RNA is filed under the name uncultured bacterium. Its description in RNAcentral is "partial 16S ribosomal RNA". It matches the Rfam family "Bacterial small subunit ribosomal RNA", at positions 29 to 507 of the family's 1533-position model. The record is from RNAcentral.
AUGAACGCUGGCGGCGUGCCUAAUACAUGCAAGUCGAGCGAACAGACGAGGAGCUUGCUCCUCUGACGUUAGCGGCGGACGGGUGAGUAACACGUGGAUAACCUACCUAUAAGACUGGGAUAACUUCGGGAAACCGGGGCUAAUACCGGAUAAUAUAUUGAACCGCAUGGUUCAAUAGUGAAAGACGGUUUUGCUGUCACUUAUAGAUGGAUCCGCGCCGCAUUAGCUAGUUGGUAAGGUAACGGCUUACCAAGGCAACGAUGCGUAGCCGACCUGAGAGGGUGAUCGGCCACACUGGAACUGAGACACGGUCCAGACUCCUACGGGAGGCAGCAGUAGGGAAUCUUCCGCAAAGGGCGAAAGCCUGACGGAGCAACGCCGCGUGAGUGAUGAAGGUCUUCGGAUCGUAAAACUCUGUUAUUAGGGAAGAACAAAUGUGUAAGUAACUAUGCACGUCUUGACGGUACCUAAUCAGAAAGCCACGGCUAACUACGUG